AAAGAAUUAGUUUAAUAAUAUAUAAAAACUUUAAUUUGUCAAGUUAACAAUACUAUCAAUUUAGUGUUCUUUU
This 73-nucleotide transfer RNA is filed under the name Graptopsaltria nigrofuscata. RNAcentral describes it as "tRNA-Asp". The record is from RNAcentral. Lineage: Eukaryota; Metazoa; Arthropoda; Insecta; Hemiptera; Cicadidae.